This is a long non-coding RNA of Clupea harengus (Atlantic herring), 1856 nucleotides long. RefSeq lists it as uncharacterized. The record is from RefSeq and is a predicted model, not a curated record. Lineage: Eukaryota; Metazoa; Chordata; Actinopteri; Clupeiformes; Clupeidae.
UCCUGUGCCAGGGAGCGGGAGCGGCACAGUCUCCCAAGGCCAGCAGACUUGUUGAGGCCAUCCUGCUGGAACUGUGCCGCACGCACCACGAGGGGAAUAUGAUCGCCGGGGUCCGCGUCCAUCGCUGGGGUGCCGUCUUGAGGGACUACAAGCUAAUCAGGGACAAUGUCCUCUACAGCCCUACCCUCAUGGCGAGCACCCACAUCCAGCUUUACGGGAUAAAUCAGCGGACCCUUACGCGAAGGAUGUGGGCAUACCACCUCAGCUGCCCUGCCUGUGGGGGCAAGCUGAUGGGCGCUGGACUGUACAAGACCGUCCGGAGGGUCUUGUACAGGAACGGCUGGUACUUCAUGGCCACCGAGUGCCUGGAGUGCCGUUCCUGUCACAGGAAGGUGGCGGGCUGGUCGCAGGGCAUCUUGGAUUAGCUGGACAUAGCGCACCGUGAGCAAUUUCCAGCUGUUCUCACGUACAAGUUGUCCUUCGACAGGGUGGUGAUCGGGAAGAUGAAGGCAACAGUGCGUCUCGCCUCCGUUCCUUCUUGGUGGAGCAGCACACCAGGGAGUGGAUGGCACGGUCGAUCCAGUACCUUUCCGUGCUCCGCAAGCUUCGGGUGCAACACCUGCAUUAGAGAUAAGAAUGGAAGGGCGAAAAGCUGCAGAAAAAACCAAGCACUCCAAACCUCUAGCAUAAGGACGAGAGCAGCACCUCCACCACCUGCUACAUCUGCGGUGAAGCCCGAACCCUUGAGGGCCGCCAUGCAGCCCUUGAAGACGGCCCUGGAGGGCGUACAGCUGAGCAGUGGCUGCUGGAGCAGCAGCAGCAGCAGGAGCAGGAGGAAGAUCCAGACGCAGAGGGUCCAGGGAGAAGGAGAGAAAGAGAGAAAGCCCAACAAGCCCAAAGUCUGCUAGCUGUGUGGCCAGCCACAGCAGAAAGUCUAGGGCCACAGUCAGAUCCGUGGAGAGCACUUUUGUGAUUUUUUUAUUUUUAUAUAUAUAUACUUGUUUUUGUAAGUAUAUUGUGUUUAUUAUUAAAAUUUUGCUGGCUUUUUCCAAAAAGUAUGACUUUUUUUUUUUGUUCUUUCUAUACCGAUUCACAGUGUGUUUGCCUAGCCGGUUCCUGCCAUUGUUUCGAGGUACUAAAUCGGCACAUUAGCGCUGACUCAGCUUUGUUUGAUGGCUUGUGACCAUCCAUCUUCCUCUUGAUCACAUUCCAGAGGUUUUCAAUGGGAUUCAGGUCUGGAGAUUGGGCUGGCUAUAACAGGGUCCUGAUCUGGUGGUCCUUCAUUCAAGUUGUCCUGGAAGAAAACUUGCUUCCCUCUGCUCUGACAAUGUUCCCCAACUCUAAGGAGUGUUUUUUCCAGCAGGACAAUGCUCCAUGCCAUACAGCUAGGUCAGUAUAGGUGUGGAUGAAGGACCACCAGAUCAGGACCCUGUCAUGGCCAGCCCAAUCUCCUGACCUGAAUCCUAUUGUUAAAAUAAUAAGUUAAAACAUUAGUAUUGUGUUGUUUAAAAAUGAAUAUGAACUUGUUUUCUUUGCAUUAUUCGAGAUCUGAAAACACUGCAUCUUUAUUGUUACUAUAUGUACUAGCUGUUAUUGGUACAUCAGGACUGGAUUACCAACUUUGUGUUAGUGUGGGUAAAUAUUUGAAAGCUAAUGUAACUCGUUUGCCCUUCACUCAAAUCGAGCUGUAUUUUCGGAAGAUUUAAAAAGCUCUUAAGUGCCUUAACAUUUUGUAACAUUUGUGUCUAUGUGUUUUAAUUAGGUGAGGAGCUAGGUAUUAAUUAGGUGAGGAGCUAGGUAUUAAGUGUUUCCUCAUUUUAUGAAUCAAACACAAUAAAGGAUGAUGUUCAAACUGG